AGCUUUUCGAAUCCGUACUGAGAUUUCGUCAGACACCAACUCAUUAGGGCUGAUCAAACUUCCAAGAUAAGUGAAGUU
RNAcentral lists this microRNA precursor (78 nucleotides) under Schistosoma curassoni. Its description in RNAcentral is "mir-3492 microRNA precursor family". It matches the Rfam family "mir-3492 microRNA precursor family". The record is from Rfam by way of RNAcentral. Lineage: Eukaryota; Metazoa; Platyhelminthes; Trematoda; Strigeidida; Schistosomatidae.